Molecule: non-coding RNA, 119 nt
Organism: Strongylocentrotus purpuratus (purple sea urchin)
Lineage: Eukaryota; Metazoa; Echinodermata; Echinoidea; Camarodonta; Strongylocentrotidae
Source: Rfam
GUCUACGACCAUACCAUGCUGAAUAUACUGGUUCACGUCCGAUCACCGAAGUCAAGCAGCAUAGGGCCUGGUCAGUACUUGGAUGGGAGACCGCUUUUGAAUACCGGAUGUUGUAGGCA